Molecule: non-coding RNA, 107 nt
Organism: Anopheles christyi
Lineage: Eukaryota; Metazoa; Arthropoda; Insecta; Diptera; Culicidae
Source: Rfam
GUGUCAUUUGAAAGGAGAGCAGGUUAGCACUCCCCUUGACAAGGAUGGAUCACAUAUUCUGAGAUCAGUGGGCACCAGACAAAAGCUGAUCUCGGCCAUUUUUUUUU